UGGCAAGCAUGGAAGGUAACGUCACUGUUACAGAUAUAACGCAUCGUCGCACCGCAUUGCCCAUUGGGUUUAAUCUCAUCGUGGUUUGUAGACCUUUGAAGGAACAAGAACGUUGAAAAUUAAAUCCUAUAGGAUUUGAUCAGUCAUGAGUGCCCCAAACCAAUGGAUUUUGUAUAUUACAACCAAUCACACAGUUCAUCAGGCGUCCUUUUUGAUAGUGAGUUAAUUGCAGCAAGUGAUUUUUUUCUACAAAGACGUGCAAUCAGAGUGGAGCAUAUAAUGGACCCUCGCGGUGCCGUUUUACAAGAAAUGUUCAAUAUCUUCAGUUUAACCCGCCUGUCCUGCAGAAUCGUUAUCUGAAACGCUUUGGCGUUUUUCAUAAAUUAAAAACAAAAAAUGUAAACCUUUGAAUUUUAAAAGUUAGCAAUAAAGACUUUUUAUUGAG
RNAcentral lists this unclassified non-coding RNA (445 nucleotides) under Cimex lectularius (bed bug). RNAcentral's name for it is "dNA polymerase subunit gamma-1, mitochondrial, transcript variant X1". The record is from RNAcentral. Lineage: Eukaryota; Metazoa; Arthropoda; Insecta; Hemiptera; Cimicidae.